This is a small nuclear RNA of 100 nucleotides. Its record names the gene U2. It matches the Rfam family "U2 spliceosomal RNA". From Rfam's summary of the family: U2 is a small nuclear RNA (snRNA) component of the spliceosome (involved in pre-mRNA splicing). Complementary binding between U2 snRNA (in an area lying towards the 5' end but 3' to hairpin I) and the branchpoint sequence (BPS) of the intron results the bulging out of an unpaired adenosine, on the BPS, which initiates a nucleophilic attack at the intronic 5' splice site, thus starting the first of two transesterification reactions that mediate splicing. The record is from Ensembl.
UCAGCUUCUCAGCAUUUUGGCUAAGAUCAAGUGUAGUAUCUGUUCUUAUCUAUUUUUAACAAACAGUAUUUUUAUUUCAUUUCCCAUUAUAUGACCAGCU